This 253-nucleotide ribosomal RNA is filed under the name uncultured bacterium. RNAcentral describes it as "partial 16S ribosomal RNA". It matches the Rfam family "Bacterial small subunit ribosomal RNA", at positions 524 to 776 of the family's 1533-position model. RNAcentral also lists the same sequence under 1 other name. The record is from RNAcentral.
UACGUAGGUGACUAGCGUUGUCCGGAUUUACUGGGCGUAAAGAGCGCGCAGGCGGUCGUUCAAGUCGAGUGUGAAAGCCCCCGGCUCAACUGGGGAGGGUCAUUCGAUACUGAUCGACUCGAAGGCAGGAGAGGGAAGCGGAAUUCCCGGUGUAGUGGUGAAAUGCGUAGAUAUCGGGAGGAACACCAGUGGCGAAGGCGGCUUCCUGGCCUGUUCUUGACGCUGAGGCGCGAAAGCUAGGGGAGCAAACGGG